CCUACGGGUGGCUGCAGUGGGGAAUAUUGGACAAUGGGGGGAACCCUGAUCCAGCCAUGCCGCGUGUGUGAAGAAGGCCCUCGGGUUGUAAAGCACUUUCAGUGAGGAAGAACGCCUGGUGGUUAAUACCCAUCAGGAAAGACAUCACUCACAGAAGAAGCACCGGCUAACUCCGUGCCAGCAGCCGCGGUAAUACGGAGGGUGCGAGCGUUAAUCGGAAUUACUGGGCGUAAAGCGCGCGUAGGUGGCUUGAUAAGCCGGUUGUGAAAGCCCCGGGCUCAACCUGGGAACGGCAUCCGGAACUGUCAAGCUAGAGUGCAGGAGAGGAAGGUAGAAUUCCAGGUGUAGCGGUGAAAUGCGUAGAGAUCGGGAGGAAUACCAGUGGCGAAGGCGGCCUUCUGGACUGACACUGACACUGAGGUGCGAAAGCGUGGGUAGCAAACAGGAUUAGAUACCCCUGUAGUC
This 465-nucleotide ribosomal RNA is filed under the name Vreelandella stevensii. Its description in RNAcentral is "partial 16S ribosomal RNA". It matches the Rfam family "Bacterial small subunit ribosomal RNA", at positions 338 to 795 of the family's 1533-position model. Lineage: Bacteria; Pseudomonadati; Pseudomonadota; Gammaproteobacteria; Oceanospirillales; Halomonadaceae. The record is from RNAcentral.